AACUAAUCUCCUGGUGUUUGUGUAAGAAAGCUAGGACAAGUGUAGAUAAGGAAGGCAUUGGAAAGUAUCUGGCACUUUCUCCGACCUUUUCCUGGGCUGCCUUUAGUCUUACCCAUUGUAGAAUAUGCAUAUUUUCAUUAGGCUGAUUUUCUCACAGGUGAGGAUGAUAAGCGGUUCUCAGAGGUUGGAGGAGCUGCUGGAUUCAAUCUAAGCUGUUGGGUUGUCUUUCUGAAUAGCCAUGCAAACUUCUGUCAAGUUCUAGGGAGCUGCAGCUCGAGCAAUGACAUCUGAAAUCAACUCAAAAUGGAUUAAAGAACAUAAGAUCUGAAACUGUAAACUCCCAGAAGAAAACACAGAGGGACUGUGGCAGGAUGGAAAGCAACAGCAUCAGUGGCAACGGGAAUGAGUGCUGGAAGUGUUGGUGGCUGGCUGGCGGCGACCCUUGGUUCUUCUCCUGGUAGACACCUUCACACCUCCGGGGAGGCGGAACAAUGCAAUCAUCACUUUGAAAUCAAUUUGUUUCGAUCCGAACGUGACUUUCCAGGUGGAGAAGGGAGAGAAUGCUAUUUUGGCUGAACCUUGAGUGAUUGGUGGAAUUGGGGCACCUGCUGGCAUUCUUACAACCCACUGCUGCCUGUUUUUACCUGAGCUGGGAGUAUCAGCCUCGUGGUGAAUCCCAUGAAAACCUUCAGGCUCUGUUCUGCUCUGCUUCUCGCCAAGCUGAAAGGAGGGUCAGCUGGAGUUUCUUUCUCUUCUGGAGAUCUCAGGGGCAGAGGAAGUGGCACCAAAUAUGUGGACCAGAUGUCUUCAGAUAGAGGCCCUGCAUUUUGCUUGACAGGCAUUUGGAUUAUUUCCAGUUUGGGCCAUUAUGAAUAAAUCUACUAUGAAGACUUCUUGUGCAAGUGUUUCAGUAGACAUGUGCUUUCAUUCUUCUUGGAAGUAGGACUGCUGGAAUACAGGAUUACAAGACAUUCAGUCAUUCUUGUUCUGCAUAUAAGUCUGCAAAUGUCUGCUGAGUAAAUGCAUGGAUUAAUGACUGAGCA
This is a long non-coding RNA of Camelus dromedarius (Arabian camel), 1043 nucleotides long. RefSeq lists it as uncharacterized. The transcript has 7 exons. The record is from RefSeq and is a predicted model, not a curated record. Lineage: Eukaryota; Metazoa; Chordata; Mammalia; Artiodactyla; Camelidae.